Molecule: ribosomal RNA, 1224 nt
Filed under: Klebsiella pneumoniae
Lineage: Bacteria; Pseudomonadati; Pseudomonadota; Gammaproteobacteria; Enterobacterales; Enterobacteriaceae
Description: partial 23S ribosomal RNA
Rfam family: Bacterial large subunit ribosomal RNA
Source: RNAcentral
GGGUUGUGAGGUUAAGCGACUAAGCGUACACGGUGGAUGCCCUGGCAGUCAGAGGCGAUGAAGGACGUGCUAAUCUGCGAAAAGCGUCGGUAAGGUGAUAUGAACCGUUAUAACCGGCGAUGUCCGAAUGGGGAAACCCAGUGCAAUUCGUUGCACUAUCGUUAACUGAAUACAUAGGUUAACGAGGCGAACCGGGGGAACUGAAACAUCUAAGUACCCCGAGGAAAAGAAAUCAACCGAGAUUCCCCCAGUAGCGGCGAGCGAACGGGGAGCAGCCCAGAGUCUGAAUCAGCUUGUGUGUUAGUGGAACGGUCUGGAAAGUCCGACGGUACAGGGUGAUAGUCCCGUACACCAAAAUGCACAGGCUGUGAACUCGAAGAGUAGGGCGGGACACGUGGUAUCCUGUCUGAAUAUGGGGGGACCAUCCUCCAAGGCUAAAUACUCCUGACUGACCGAUAGUGAACCAGUACCGUGAGGGAAAGGCGAAAAGAACCCCGGCGAGGGGAGUGAAAAAGAACCUGAAACCGUGUACGUACAAGCAGUGGGAGCACCUUCGGGUGUGACUGCGUACCUUUUGUAUAAUGGGUCAGCGACUUAUAUUCUGUAGCAAGGUUAACCGUAUAGGGGAGCCGCAGGGAAACCGAGUCUUAACUGGGCGUUAAGUUGCAGGGUAUAGACCCGAAACCCGGUGAUCUAGCCAUGGGCAGGUUGAAGGUUGGGUAACACUAACUGGAGGACCGAACCGACUAAUGUUGAAAAAUUAGCGGAUGACUUGUGGCUGGGGGUGAAAGGCCAAUCAAACCGGGAGAUAGCUGGUUCUCCCCGAAAGCUAUUUAGGUAGCGCCUCGUGAACUCAUCUUCGGGGGUAGAGCACUGUUUCGGCUAGGGGGUCAUCCCGACUUACCAACCCGAUGCAAACUACGAAUACCGAAGAAUGUUAUCACGGGAGACACACGGCGGGUGCUAACGUCCGUCGUGAAGAGGGAAACAACCCAGACCGCCAGCUAAGGUCCCAAAGUCAUGGUUAAGUGGGAAACGAUGUGGGAAGGCACAGACAGCCAGGAUGUUGGCUUAGAAGCAGCCAUCAUUUAAAGAAAGCGUAAUAGCUCACUGGUCGAGUCGGCCUGCGCGGAAGAUGUAACGGGGCUAAACCAUGCACCGAAGCUGCGGCAGCGACACUAUGUGUUGUUGGGUAGGGGAGCGUUCUGUAAGCCUGCGAAGGUG